Molecule: transfer RNA, 69 nt
Filed under: Crossorhombus azureus (blue flounder)
Lineage: Eukaryota; Metazoa; Chordata; Actinopteri; Pleuronectiformes; Bothidae
Description: tRNA-Arg
Rfam family: tRNA
About the family: Transfer RNA (tRNA) molecules are approximately 80 nucleotides in length.
Source: RNAcentral
UGGCGGCUAGUUUAACAAAAACACUUGAUUUCGGCUCAAGAACUUGUGGUUAAAUUCCACAGCCACCUA